This 298-nucleotide long non-coding RNA is filed under the name Fragaria vesca (wild strawberry). RNAcentral's name for it is "long non-coding RNA (FVES_LNC002325)". Lineage: Eukaryota; Viridiplantae; Streptophyta; Magnoliopsida; Rosales; Rosaceae. The record is from RNAcentral.
CUCAGUUCCACCACCAAAUGCUCUGCUUCUAAUGAGGUGCAGGUCUGCUCCUGCAAAGAGCUGGUUAGAAGAGAAAGAAGAAGAAGAAGAAAACAAUGAUCAUGAAGAAAAAGAAGAGAAAGAAGAAUGCCAGGAAGCAAAUAUAUCUGAAAAACAAGAGAGAAAAGGCAAAAUUACUUUGAAGAGCUUAAUGGAUGAAGAAAAAAUGAAGAAGAUGAACGAGAACCUGGUGGUGAUGACAUACGGUUCUGAUUUGUACAACAUUUCAACUGAGAUUGCUAAGGAGACAUGGGUUGUU